This 434-nucleotide ribosomal RNA is filed under the name uncultured Blautia sp. RNAcentral describes it as "bacterial SSU rRNA". It matches the Rfam family "Bacterial small subunit ribosomal RNA", at positions 341 to 792 of the family's 1533-position model. The record is from RNAcentral. Lineage: Bacteria; Bacillati; Bacillota; Clostridia; Lachnospirales; Lachnospiraceae.
ACGGAAGGCAGCAGUGGGGAAUAUUGCACAAUGGGGGAAACCCUGAUGCAGCGACGCCGCGUGAAGGAAGAAGUAUCUCGGUAUGUAAACUUCUAUCAGCAGGGAAGAUAGUGACGGUACCUGACUAAGAAGCCCCGGCUAACUACGUGCCAGCAGCCGCGGUAAUACGUAGGGGGCAAGCGUUAUCCGGAUUUACUGGGUGUAAAGGGAGCGUAGACGGUGUGGCAAGUCUGAUGUGAAAGGCAUGGGCUCACCCUGUGGACUGCAUUGGAAACUGUCAUACUUGAGUGCCGGAGGGGUAAGCGGAAUUCCUAGUGUAGCGGUGAAAUGCGUAGAUAUUAGGAGGAACACCAGUGGCGAAGGCGGCUUACUGGACGGUAACUGACGUUGAGGCUCGAAAGCGUGGGGAGCAAACAGGAUUAGAUACCCUGGUA